RNAcentral lists this ribosomal RNA (429 nucleotides) under Gemmatimonadota bacterium. Its description in RNAcentral is "Gemmatimonadetes bacterium partial 16S ribosomal RNA". It matches the Rfam family "Bacterial small subunit ribosomal RNA", at positions 355 to 776 of the family's 1533-position model. Lineage: Bacteria; Pseudomonadati; Gemmatimonadota. The record is from RNAcentral.
UAGGGAAUCUUCGGCAAUGGACGAAAGUCUGACCGAGCAACGCCGCGUGAGUGAAGAAGGUUUUCGGAUCGUAAAACUCUGUUGUUAGAGAAGAACAAGGACGUUAGUAACUGAACGUCCCCUGACGGUAUCUAACCAGAAAGCCACGGCUAACUACGUGCCAGCAGCCGCGGUAAUACGUAGGUGGCAAGCGUUGUCCGGAUUUAUUGGGCGUAAUGCGAGCGCAGGCGGUUUCUUAAGUCUGAUGUGAAAGCCCCCGGCUUAACCGGGGAGGGUCAUUGGAAACUGGGAGACUUGAGUGCAGAAGAGGAGAGUGGAAUUCCAUGUGUAGCGGUGAAAUGCGUAGAUAUAUGGAGGAAAACCAGUGGCGAAGGCGGCGCUCUGGUCUGUAACUGACGCUGAGGCUCGAAAGCGUGGGGAGCAAACAGG